GGACCUGACUGCUAUCGGAUUGAUACUAAGCCAUGCGAGUCAUUGUAGCAAUACAAGGCAUACGGCUCAGUAACGCGUAGUCAACCUAACCUAUGGACGGGAAUAACCUCGGGAAACUGAGAAUAAUGCCCGAUAGAACAUUAUGCCUGGAAUGGUUUAUGUUCCAAAUGAUUUAUCGCCGUAGGAUGGGACUGCGGCCUAUCAGUUUGUUGGUGAGGUAAUGGCCCACCAAGACUAUUACAGGUACGGGCUCUGAGAGGAGUAGCCCGGAGAUGGGUACUGAGACACGGACCCAGGCCCUAUGGGGCGCAGCAGGCGAGAAAACUUUGCAAUGUGCAAAAGCACGACAAGGUUAAUCCGAGUGGUUUCUGCUAAAGAAACCUUUUGUCAGUCCUAGAAACACUGAUGAAUAAGGGGUGGGCAAGUUCUGGUGU
RNAcentral lists this ribosomal RNA (434 nucleotides) under uncultured archaeon. RNAcentral describes it as "bacterial SSU rRNA". It matches the Rfam family "Archaeal small subunit ribosomal RNA", at positions 19 to 458 of the family's 1478-position model. The record is from RNAcentral.